Molecule: ribosomal RNA, 119 nt
Filed under: Pteropus alecto (black flying fox)
Lineage: Eukaryota; Metazoa; Chordata; Mammalia; Chiroptera; Pteropodidae
Source: RNAcentral
GUCUAUGGCCAUGCCACUCUGAACAAACCUGAUCCUGUCUGAUCUUGGAAGCUAAGCAGGGUUAGGCCUGGUUAGUAUUUUGAUGGGAGACCACUCAGGAAGACCAGGUGCUGGAGGCG